This is a long non-coding RNA of Manis javanica (Malayan pangolin), 624 nucleotides long. RefSeq lists it as uncharacterized. Lineage: Eukaryota; Metazoa; Chordata; Mammalia; Pholidota; Manidae. The record is from RefSeq and is a predicted model, not a curated record.
ACAUGAAGAUGACAGAGUCCCUGGGAACUGAGUUUUGAAAGUGUGACCCCGUGCCUGCCUGGGUCCGUUCCUGCAUCCGCCCAUGAGGGACGCUGACCAAGCCUGACUGAGAGGAACUCAUCCCAACCACAGGCCCCUGCCUGGCUCAGCUCUGUGCCCCACGAGGACUUUCUGAAGCGUCCCUCCUCCCCCUCUGCUCUCCUCCACUUAUCUGUCAUUAAGUGUCUGGGGGCCCCAGGCCAGUAGGAACCAGGGGCUCCUGAGGGGAAGCGGGGGCAAACAAGGCCUGGGAGAAGACAGCCCAUUCAGGCCUGAGCUCUGAAGAGGGAGAUGUCUCAGUGGGGAGUACAGACGGGGACACACCGCCCAGAGCGGGACCUCGCAUCAGGCAACACCCCUAACAGCUACUGCUCUGAGUGCUGGCCUGCAGGAACUGGUCCAAUCUGCCCAACAGUCCUCUGGGUAGGCACUGCUAUGCCCCUUUUUCACAGGAGGAGAAGAAGGUGCUCACUCGGGGUGGACAGAGAGCGUCCAGAGAACCAGGCUACUGUAAGGCGGAAGAAGAGAACAGACCUCCCUCAGAGAGCACUGCCUGGCCCCUGGGGUCUUCUGUUUGUAACCCAG